ACGGAGGGUGCGAGCGUUAAUCGGAAUAACUGGGCGUAAAGGGCACGCAGGCGGUGACUUAAGUGAGGUGUGAAAGCCCCGGGCUUAACCUGGGAAUUGCAUUUCAUACUGGGUCGCUAGAGUACUUUAGGGAGGGGUAGAAUUCCACGUGUAGCGGUGAAAUGCGUAGAGAUGUGGAGGAAUACCGAAGGCGAAGGCAGCCCCUUGGGAAUGUACUGACGCUCAUGUGCGAAAGCGUGGGGAGCAAACAGG
Molecule: ribosomal RNA, 252 nt
Filed under: uncultured bacterium
Lineage: Bacteria
Description: partial 16S ribosomal RNA
Rfam family: Bacterial small subunit ribosomal RNA
Source: RNAcentral